Molecule: ribosomal RNA, 2940 nt
Filed under: Desulforamulus profundi
Lineage: Bacteria; Bacillati; Bacillota; Clostridia; Eubacteriales; Peptococcaceae
Description: bacterial LSU rRNA
Rfam family: Bacterial large subunit ribosomal RNA
Source: RNAcentral
GGUCAAGAAACAAAGGGCAUACGGUGGAUGCCUUGGCGCUAAGGGCCGAAGAAGGGCGUGGAAAGCUGCGAAAAGCCACGGGGAGCCGCAAGCAGGCAWCGAUCCGUGGAUACCGAAUGGGGCAACCCGGCGGAGCAAAACUCCGUCACCCUAUGCUGAACACAUAGGCAUAGAGGAGGGCACCCGGGGAACUGAAACAUCUAAGUACCCGGAGGAAGAGAAAGAAAYAUCGAACCCCCAAGUAGCGGCGAGCGAAAAGGGGCGAGCCUAAACCAGAAUUCUUCGGAAAUCUGGGGUUGCGGGAACCUCAUCACGUGAYGAUUAGUCCUAGUCGAAGACACCUGGAAAGGUGCUGCACAGAAGGUAACACACCUGUAGGCGAAAGGACGAAAAUUGCAGAGGACAUCCCAAGUACCGCAGGACACGAGAAACCCUGUGGGAAUCCGGGGGGACCACCCCCCAAGGCUAACUACCCUUAGCGACCGAUAGUGAACCAGUACCGUGAGGGAAAGGUGAAAAGCACCCCGGGAGGGGAGUGAAAAAGAACCUGAAACCGUAUGCCUACAAACUGUCGGAGCACAUUAAAAGUGUGACGGCGUACUUUUUGUAGAACGGACCGGCGAGUUACAUCUAACGUGCAGGUUAAGGCGAGCAUUGCCGGAGCCAAAGCGAAAGCGAGUCUUAAAAGGGCGACAAGUACGUUGGAGUAGACCCGAAACCUGGUGAUCUACCCAUGUCCAGAGUGAAGCUUUAGUAAAAUAAAGUGGAGGCUCGAACCGACCUUCGUUGAAAAGGAGGCGGAUGAGGUGUGGGUAGGGGUGAAAUGCCAAUCGAACCAGGAGAUAGCUGGUUCUCCCCGAAAUAGCUUUAGGGCUAGCCUCGGAAGAUGGUUAGCGGAGGUAGAGCACUGAAUGGGCUAGGGGCCUUCACGGGUUACCGAACCCAAUCAAACUCCGAAUGCCGCAUAACUUACUCCGGGAGUCAGACUGCGAGUGCUAAGAUCCGUAGUCAAAAGGGAAACAGCCCAGACCAACAGCUAAGGUCCCAAAGACAGGCUAAGUGGAAAAGGAUGUGGGGUUGCACAGACAACCAGGAUGUUGGCUUAGAAGCAGCCACCAUUUAAAGAGUGCGUAAUAGCUCACUGGUCAAGUGGCCCUGCGCCGAAAAUGAAACGGGGCUAAGCCUGGCACCGAAGCUUUGGAUUGACGUAAGUCAGUGGUAGGGGAGCGUUCUUAUUCCGUUGAAGUCGUACCGUGAGGAGCGGUGGAGGAAUAAGAAGUGAGAAUGCCGGUAUGAGUAAGCGAAAAGGCAGRUGAGAAUCCUGCCCGCCGAAAACCUAAGGAUUUCUGGGGAAGGUUCGUCCGCCCAGAGUAAGCCGGGACCUAAGCCGAGGCCGCAAGGCGUAGGUGAUGGACAAUCGGUUGAGAAUCCGAUGCCACCAACGACCGUUUGAGGAUGGAGUGACGCAGGAGGGUACGUUUAGCCAGCGGCUGGAAAAGCUGGUCCAAGCCCGUAGGGUGUGUGGUAGGCAAAUCCGCCACACAAAAARCCUGAGAGGUGAAGGGGAGCGAAAACAAGUAGCGAAGAAACGGAUCCCAAACUGCCAAGAAAAACUUCUAACGAGGUUAGUUGGUGCCCGUACCGCAAACCGACACAGGUAGGUGGGGUGAAAAUCCUAAGGCGCGCGAGAGAACCCUCGUUAAGGAACUCGGCAAAAUGACCCCGUAACUUCGGGAGAAGGGGUGCCUCGGUAUUGUGAAAGAUGAACAUCUGGAGCAAGAAGAGGCCGCAGAGAAAAGGCCCAAGCGACUGUUUACCAAAAACACAGGUCCCUGCUAAAGCGAAAGCUGACGUAUAGGGGCUGACGCCUGCCCGGUGCUGGAAGGUUAAGGGGAAGAGUUAGCGCAAGCGAAGCUUUAAACCGAAGCCCCAGUAAACGGCGGCCGUAACUAUAACGGUCCUAAGGUAGCGAAAUUCCUUGUCAGGUAAGUUCUGACCCGCACGAAAGGCGUAACGAUUUGGGCACUGUCUCAACGAGGGGCUCGGUGAAAUUGUAAUGACGGUGAAGAUGCCGUCUACCUGCGACAGGACAGAAAGACCCCGUGGAGCUUUACUGUAGCUUGACAUUGGGUUUUGGUAUUUGAUGUACAGGAUAGGUGGGAGACUGAGAAGUCCAUACGCCAGUAUGGAUGGAGUCGCCGUUGGGAUACCACCCUUUAGAUAUUGAAAUUCUAACUUUAGACCAUGAAGCUGGUCUGAGGACAGUGUCAGGUGGGCAGUUUGACUGGGGCGGUCGCCUCCCAAAAAGUAACGGAGGCGCCCAAAGGUUCCCUCAGCGCGGGCGGAAAUCGCGCGUAAGAGUGUAAAGGCAGAAGGGAGCUUGACAGCGAGACCAACAAGUCGAGCUGGUACGAAAGUAGGGCUUAGUGAUCCGGCGGUUCCGAGUGGAAGGGCCGUCGCUCAACGGAUAAAAGCUACCCCGGGGAUAACAGGCUUAUCUCCCCAAGAGUCCACAUCGACGGGGAGGUUUGGCACCUCGAUGUCGGCUCAUCGCAUCCUGGGGCUGAAGUAGGUCCCAAGGGUUGGGCUGUUCGCCCAUUAAAGCGGUACGUGAGCUGGGUUCAGAACGUCGUGAGACAGUUCGGUCCCUAUCCGUCGCAGGCGCAGGAAACUUGAGAAGAGCUGUCCCUAGUACGAGAGGACCGGGAUGGACGGACCGCUGGUGUACCAGCUAUCGUGCCAACGGUAGUGCUGGGUAACUAAGUCCGGCAGGGAUAAGUGCUGAAAGCAUCUAAGCACGAAGCCCCCUUCAAGAUGAGGUUUCCCACUACGCAAGUAGGUAAGAUCCCAUGMAGACUACAUGGUAGAUAGGCCGGGGGUGUAAGCGCAGCAAUGUGUUCAGCCGACCGGUACUAAUAGAUCGAGGUCUUGACCUAAUUU